UAUGGAGGAUGUGAGCGUUAUCCGGAUUUAUUGGGUUUAAAGGGUGCGCAGGUUGUUUGAUAAGUCAGUGGUGAAAGUCUGUCGCUUAACGGUAGGAUUGCCAUUGAUACUGUUGGACUUGAAUAUGGGUGAGGUAGGCGGAAUGUGUAGUGUAGCGGUGAAAUGCAUAGAUAUUACACAGAACACCGAUUGCGAAGGCAGCUUACUAAUCCAUCAUUGACGCUGAGGCACGAAAGCGUGGGGAUCAAACAGGA
RNAcentral lists this ribosomal RNA (254 nucleotides) under uncultured prokaryote. Its description in RNAcentral is "partial 16S ribosomal RNA". It matches the Rfam family "Bacterial small subunit ribosomal RNA", at positions 524 to 777 of the family's 1533-position model. The record is from RNAcentral.